UACGAAGGGGGCUAGCGUUGCUCGGAAUCACUGGGCGUAAAGCGCACGUAGGCGGGUCUCUAAGUCAGGGGUGAAAUCCUGGAGCUCAACUCCAGAACUGCCUUUGAUACUGGGGAUCUCGAGUCCGGGAGAGGUGAGUGGAACUCCGAGUGUAGAGGUGAAAUUCGUAGAUAUCUGGAGGAACACCGGUGGCGAAGGCGGCAUCCUGGACCAACACUGACGCUGAGGAGCGAAAGCCAGGGGAGCAAACGGG
This 253-nucleotide ribosomal RNA is filed under the name uncultured bacterium. Its description in RNAcentral is "partial 16S ribosomal RNA". It matches the Rfam family "Bacterial small subunit ribosomal RNA", at positions 524 to 776 of the family's 1533-position model. The record is from RNAcentral.